This 906-nucleotide ribosomal RNA is filed under the name uncultured bacterium. RNAcentral describes it as "bacterial SSU rRNA". It matches the Rfam family "Bacterial small subunit ribosomal RNA", at positions 1 to 900 of the family's 1533-position model. The record is from RNAcentral.
CCUUAGAGUUUGAUCCUGGCUCAGGAUGAACGCUAGCUACAGGCUUAACACAUGCAAGUCGAGGGGAAACGAUAUUGGAAGCUUGCUUCCGAUAGGCGUCGACCGGCGCACGGGUGAGUAACGCGUAUCCAACCUGCCCACCACUUGGGGAUAACCUUGCGAAAGUAAGACUAAUACCCAAUGAUAUCUCUAGAAGACAUCUGAAAGGGAUUAAAGAUUUAUCGGUGAUGGAUGGGGAUGCGUCUGAUUAGCUUGUUGGCGGGGUAACGGCCCACCAAGGCGACGAUCAGUAGGGGUUCUGAGAGGAAGGUCCCCCACAUUGGAACUGAGACACGGUCCAAACUCCUACGGGAGGCAGCAGUGAGGAAUAUUGGUCAAUGGGCGAGAGCCUGAACCAGCCAAGUAGCGUGCAGGAUGACGGCCCUAUGGGUUGUAAACUGCUUUUAUAAGGGAAUAAAGUGAGCCUCGUGAGGCUUUUUGCAUGUACCUUAUGAAUAAGGACCGGCUAAUUCCGUGCCAGCAGCCGCGGUAAUACGGAAGGUCCGGGCGUUAUCCGGAUUUAUUGGGUUUAAAGGGAGCGUAGGCCGGAGAUUAAGCGUGUUGUGAAAUGUAGAUGCUCAACAUCUGAACUGCAGCGCGAACUGGUUUCCUUGAGUACGCACAAAGUGGGCGGAAUUCGUGGUGUAGCGGUGAAAUGCUUAGAUAUCACGAAGAACUCCGAUUGCGAAGGCAGCUCACUGGAGCGCAACUGACGCUGAAGCUCGAAAGUGCGGGUAUCGAACAGGAUUAGAUACCCUGGUAGUCCGCACGGUAAACGAUGGAUGCCCGCUGUUGGUCUGAAUAGGUCAGCGGCCAAGCGAAAGCAUUAAGCAUCCCACCUGGGGAGUACGCCGGCAACGGUGAAAC